RNAcentral lists this ribosomal RNA (495 nucleotides) under uncultured bacterium. RNAcentral's name for it is "partial 16S ribosomal RNA". It matches the Rfam family "Bacterial small subunit ribosomal RNA", at positions 28 to 507 of the family's 1533-position model. The record is from RNAcentral.
GACGAACGCUGGCGGCGUGCCUAAUACAUGCAAGUCGAACGCUGAAGGAGGAGCUUGCUUCUCUGGAUGAGUUGCGAACGGGUGAGUAACGCGUAGGUAACCUGCCUGGUAGCGGGGGAUAACUAUUGGAAACGAUAGCUAAUACCGCAUAAUAGUAGAUGUUGCAUGACAUUUACUUAAAAGGUGCAAUUGCAUCACUACCAGAUGGACCUGCGUUGUAUUAGCUAGUUGGUGGGGUAACGGCUCACCAAGGCGACGAUACAUAGCCGACCUGAGAGGGUGAUCGGCCACACUGGGACUGAGACACGGCCCAGACUCCUACGGGAGGCAGCAGUAGGGAAUCUUCGGCAAUGGACGAAAGUCUGACCGAGCAACGCCGCGUGAGUGAAGAAGGUUUUCGGAUCGUAAAGCUCUGUUGUAAGAGAAGAACGAGUGUGAGAGUGGAAAGUUCACACUGUGACGGUAUCUUACCAGAAAGGGACGGCUAACUACGUG